GACGGGGGCCCGCACAAGCGGAGGAACAUGUGGUUUAAUUCGAUGAUACGCGAGGAACCUUACCCGGGCUCGAACGGUGCAGGAAGGAUCAAGAGAUUGUGACGCCCUUCGGGGCCUGCAUCGAGGUGCUGCAUGGUUGUCGUCAGCUCGUGUCGUGAGAUGUUGGCUUAAGUGCCAUAACGAGCGCAACCCUUGUCGCCAGUUACCAGCAAGUAAAGUUGGGGACUCUGGCGAGACUGCCACCGCAAGGUGUGAGGAAGGCGGGGAUGACGUCAAAUCAGCACGGCCCUUACGUCCGGGGCGACACACGUGUUACAAUGGCGACUACAGAGGGAAGCCACCUGGCGACAGGGAGCAGAUCUCAAAAAGUCGUCUCAGUUCGGAUCGGAGUCUGCAACUCGACUCCGUGAAGCUGGAUUCGCUAGUAAUCGCGCAUCAGCCAUGGCGCGGUGAAUACGUUCCCGGGCCUUGUACACACCGCCCGUCAAGCCAUGAAAGCCGGGGGUGCCUGAAGUCCGUGACCGAAAGGAGCGGCCUAGGGCAAAACUGGUAAUUGGGGCUAAGUCGUAACGAGGUAGCCGUACCGGAA
RNAcentral lists this ribosomal RNA (589 nucleotides) under uncultured bacterium. Its description in RNAcentral is "bacterial SSU rRNA". It matches the Rfam family "Bacterial small subunit ribosomal RNA", at positions 912 to 1510 of the family's 1533-position model. The record is from RNAcentral.